This 313-nucleotide long non-coding RNA is filed under the name Carica papaya (papaya). RNAcentral describes it as "long non-coding RNA (CPAP_LNC012651)". The record is from RNAcentral. Lineage: Eukaryota; Viridiplantae; Streptophyta; Magnoliopsida; Brassicales; Caricaceae.
UUACCAAAAUUGAUCCUGGGUAAAAUUUCGGGUCUGUGUCUUACAACUCUCUCCCCCUUAAAAAGAAAUUUGGUCCUCAAAUUUGUCGCCCUCUCACUUAGUCAAACAGUUGGGAUACUAGACUUUUAAGUCUGAUUUUAGCUCCUAUGUGGCUUCUUUCUGUAUACGAUUCUGCCAUAUGACAUUGACAAAGAAAAUUUCUCUGUUGCAGAGUACUUUGCUUUUUUGGUCUACAAUACCCACUGGUACCUCCUUAUAUGAUAGAUGCUCCUAGAGUGAAGGAAGCUCAUAGGAUAACAUGUGUGAGAUGUCU